RNAcentral lists this ribosomal RNA (447 nucleotides) under uncultured bacterium. RNAcentral's name for it is "partial 16S ribosomal RNA". It matches the Rfam family "Bacterial small subunit ribosomal RNA", at positions 329 to 792 of the family's 1533-position model. The record is from RNAcentral.
GUCCAGACUCCUACGGGAGGCAGCAGUGGGGGAUAUUGCACAAUGGGGGGAACCCUGAUGCAGCGACGCCGCGUGGGUGAAGGAGCGUUUCGGCGCGUAAAGCCCUAUCGGCAGGGAAGAAGGAGGACGGUACCUGACUAAGAAGCCCCGGCUAACUACGUGCCAGCAGCCGCGGUAAUACGUAGGGGGCAAGCGUUAUCCGGAUUCACUGGGUGUAAAGGGAGCGUAGACGGCGGCGCAAGUCUGGAGUGAAAGCCCGGGGCCCAACCCCGGGACUGCUCUGGAAACUGCGGCGCUGGAGUACGGGAGGGGCAGGCGGAAUUCCUGGUGUAGCGGUGAAAUGCGUAGAUAUCAGGAGGAACACCGGCGGCGAAGGCGGCUUACUGGACUGUAACUGACGUUGAGGCUCGAAAGCGUGGGGAGCAAACAGGAUUAGAUACCCCAGUA